GAUGAACGCUGGCGGCGUGCUUAACACAUGCAAGUCGAACGCUGAAGCUCAGCUUUUGUUGGGUGGAUGAGUGGCGAACGGGUGAGUAACACGUGAGUAACCUGCCCCCUUCUUUGGGAUAACGCCCGGAAACGGGUGCUAAUACUGGAUAUUCACUGGUCUUCGCAUGGGGGUUGGUGGAAAGGGUUUUUCUGGUGGGGGAUGGGCUCGCGGCCUAUCAGCUUGUUGGUGGGGUGAUGGCCUACCAAGGCUUUGACGGGUAGCCGGCCUGAGAGGGUGACCGGUCACAUUGGGACUGAGAUACGGCCCAGACUCCUACGGGAGGCAGCAGUGGGGAAUAUUGCACAAUGGGCGCAAGCCUGAUGCAGCGACGCCGCGUGAGGGAUGGAGGCCUUCGGGUUGUGAACCUCUUUCGCUCAUGGUCAAGCCGCAACAAUGGUUGUGGUGAGGGUAGUGGGUAAAGAAGCGCCGGCUAACUACGUG
RNAcentral lists this ribosomal RNA (483 nucleotides) under uncultured bacterium. RNAcentral describes it as "partial 16S ribosomal RNA". It matches the Rfam family "Bacterial small subunit ribosomal RNA", at positions 28 to 507 of the family's 1533-position model. The record is from RNAcentral.